Molecule: ribosomal RNA, 496 nt
Filed under: uncultured bacterium
Lineage: Bacteria
Description: partial 16S ribosomal RNA
Rfam family: Bacterial small subunit ribosomal RNA
Source: RNAcentral
GAUGAACGCUGGCGGCGUGCCUAAUACAUGCAAGUCGAGCGAACGGACGAGAAGCUUGCUUCUCUGAUGUUAGCGGCGGACGGGUGAGUAACACGUGGAUAACCUACCUAUAAGACUGGGAUAACUUCGGGAAACCGGAGCUAAUACCGGAUAAUAUUUUGAACCGCAUGGUUCAAAAGUGAAAGACGGUCUUGCUGUCACUUAUAGAUGGAUCCGCGCUGCAUUAGCUAGUUGGUAAGGUAACGGCUUACCAAGGCAACGAUGCAUAGCCGACCUGAGAGGGUGAUCGCCCACCCUGGAACGGGAAAACGGCCCAGCCCCCUAGGGGGGGCGGCGUUGGGGAAUUUUCCCCAUGGGGGGAAGCCCUACCGGGCCACCCCCGGGGGGGUAAUGAAGUCUUCGGGUUCGAAAAACUCUUUUUUUGGGAAAAAAAAUAUUUGUAAGUAACUGUGCCCACUUGGCCGGUCCCUAAUAAGAAAGCCCCGGCUACCUCCGU